GACGAACGCUGGCGGCGCGCCUAACACAUGCAAGUCGAACGGUGAAGAGGAGCUUGCUCCUCGGAUCAGUGGCGGACGGGUGAGUAACACGUGAGCAACCUGGCUUUAAGAGGGGGACAACAGUUGGAAACGACUGCUAAUACCGCAUAAUGUAUCGGGAUGGCAUCUUCCUGAUACCAAAGAUUUUAUCGCUUAGAGAUGGGCUCACGUCUGAUUAGCUAGUUGGUGAGGUAACGGCUCACCAAGGCUGCGAUCAGUAGCCGGACUGAGAGGUUGACCGGCCACAUUGGGACUGAGAUACGGCCCAGACUCCUACGGGAGGCAGCAGUGGGGAAUAUUGGGCAAUGGGGGAAACCCUGACCCAGCAACGCCGCGUGAAGGAAGAAGGCCUUCGGGUUGGUAAACUUCUUUUACCAGGACGAAAAAGAUAGACGGUACCUGGAGAAAAAGACAACGGACUAACUAACGUAGCCAGCAGCCGC
This 482-nucleotide ribosomal RNA is filed under the name uncultured bacterium. Its description in RNAcentral is "bacterial SSU rRNA". It matches the Rfam family "Bacterial small subunit ribosomal RNA", at positions 28 to 518 of the family's 1533-position model. The record is from RNAcentral.